Molecule: ribosomal RNA, 430 nt
Filed under: uncultured Alicycliphilus sp.
Lineage: Bacteria; Pseudomonadati; Pseudomonadota; Betaproteobacteria; Burkholderiales; Comamonadaceae
Description: bacterial SSU rRNA
Rfam family: Bacterial small subunit ribosomal RNA
Source: RNAcentral
GUGGGGAAUUUUGGACAAUGGGCGCAAGCCUGAUCCAGCAAUGCCGCGUGCAGGACGAAGGCCUUCGGGUUGUAAACUGCUUUUGUACAGAACGAAAGGGCUCUGGAUAAUACCUGGGGCAGAUGACGGUACUGUAAGAAUAAGCACCGGCUAACUACGUGCCAGCAGCCGCGGUAAUACGUAGGGUGCGAGCGUUAAUCGGAAUUACUGGGCGUAAAGCGUGCGCAGGCGGUUUUGUAAGACCGAUGUGAAAUCCCCGGGCUCAACCUGGGAACUGCAUUGGUGACUGCAAGGCUGGAGUGCGGCAGAGGGGGAUGGAAUUCCGCGUGUAGCAGUGAAAUGCGUAGAUAUGCGGAGGAACACCGAUGGCGAAGGCAAUCCCCUGGGCCUGCACUGACGCUCAUGCACGAAAGCGUGGGGAGCAAACAGG